AGGCCCAUAGCUCAGUGAUAGAGCAUUUGCUUCACGUGCAGAAGGUCCCAGGUUCAAUUCCCAGGUGGGGCUA
This is a non-coding RNA of Podarcis lilfordi (Lilford's wall lizard), 73 nucleotides long. The record is from the annotation of a GenBank genome assembly. NCBI's taxonomy places the organism in Eukaryota, Metazoa, Chordata, Lepidosauria, Squamata, Lacertidae.